This 294-nucleotide ribosomal RNA is filed under the name Lactiplantibacillus paraplantarum. RNAcentral's name for it is "Lactobacillus paraplantarum partial 16S ribosomal RNA". It matches the Rfam family "Bacterial small subunit ribosomal RNA", at positions 1 to 274 of the family's 1533-position model. The record is from RNAcentral. Lineage: Bacteria; Bacillati; Bacillota; Bacilli; Lactobacillales; Lactobacillaceae.
UUAGUUUGAUUCCGGCUCAGGACGAACGCUGGCGGCGUGCCUAAUACAUGCAAGUCGAACGAACUCUGGUAAUGAUUGGUGCUUGCAUCAUGAAUUACAUUUGAGUGAGUGGCGAACUGGUGAGUAACACGUGGGAAACCUGCCCAGAAGCGGGGGAUAACACCUGGAAACAGAUGCUAAUACCGCAUAACAACUUGGACCGCAUGGUCCGAGUUUGAAAGAUGGCUUCGGCUAUCACUUUUGGAUGGUCCCGCGGCGUAUUAGCUAGAUGGUGAGGUAACGGCUCACCAUGGC